RNAcentral lists this ribosomal RNA (993 nucleotides) under Subtercola sp. J5H24. RNAcentral describes it as "bacterial SSU rRNA". It matches the Rfam family "Bacterial small subunit ribosomal RNA", at positions 463 to 1453 of the family's 1533-position model. Lineage: Bacteria; Bacillati; Actinomycetota; Actinomycetes; Micrococcales; Microbacteriaceae. The record is from RNAcentral.
UUCGGUUUGACGGUACUUGCAGAAAAAGCACCGGCUAACUACGUGCCAGCAGCCGCGGUAAUACGUAGGGUGCAAGCGUUGUCCGGAAUUAUUGGGCGUAAAGAGCUCGUAGGCGGUUUGUCGCGUCUGCUGUGAAAACUGGAGGCUCAACCUCCAGCCUGCAGUGGGUACGGGCAGACUAGAGUGCGGUAGGGGAGAUUGGAAUUCCUGGUGUAGCGGUGGAAUGCGCAGAUAUCAGGAGGAACACCGAUGGCGAAGGCAGAUCUCUGGGCCGUAACUGACGCUGAGGAGCGAAAGCAUGGGGAGCGAACAGGAUUAGAUACCCUGGUAGUCCAUGCCGUAAACGUUGGGAACUAGAUGUAGGGACCAUUCCACGGUUUCUGUGUCGCAGCUAACGCAUUAAGUUCCCCGCCUGGGGAGUACGGCCGCAAGGCUAAAACUCAAAGGAAUUGACGGGGGCCCGCACAAGCGGCGGAGCAUGCGGAUUAAUUCGAUGCAACGCGAAGAACCUUACCAAGGCUUGACAUAUACGAGAACGCUGCAGAAAUGUGGAACUCUUUGGACACUCGUAUACAGGUGGUGCAUGGUUGUCGUCAGCUCGUGUCGUGAGAUGUUGGGUUAAGUCCCGCAACGAGCGCAACCCUCGUUCUAUGUUGCCAGCACGUUAUGGUGGGAACUCAUAGGAGACUGCCGGGGUCAACUCGGAGGAAGGUGGGGAUGACGUCAAAUCAUCAUGCCCCUUAUGUCUUGGGCUUCACGCAUGCUACAAUGGCCGGUACAAAGGGCUGCGAUACCGUAAGGUGGAGCGAAUCCCAAAAAGCCGGUCUCAGUUCGGAUUGAGGUCUGCAACUCGACCUCAUGAAGUCGGAGUCGCUAGUAAUCGCAGAUCAGCAACGCUGCGGUGAAUACGUUCCCGGGCCUUGUACACACCGCCCGUCAAGUCAUGAAAGUCGGUAACACCCAACGCCAGUGGCCUAACCUUCGGGAGGGAGC